CUCCGUUGGUGACCAGCGGAGGGAUCUUACCGAGUUUUCACUCCCAAACCCCUGUGAACAUACCAUACUGUUGCCUCGGCGGUGCCUGUUCCGACAGCCCGCCAGAGGACCCCAAACCCAAAUUUCUUUGAGACGUAUUCUGAGUAACCGAUUAAAUAAAUCAAAACUUUCAACAACGGAUCUCUUGGUUCUGGCAUCGAUGAAGAACGCAGCGAAAUGCGAUAAGUAAUGUGAAUUGCAGAAUUCAGUGAAUCAUCGAAUCUUUGAACGCACAUUGCGCCCGCUAGUAUUCUGGCGGGCAUGCCUGUUCGAGCGUCAUUUCAACCCUCAAGCCCCCCGGGCUUGGUGUUGGGGAUCGGCGAGCCUCUGCGCCCGCCGUCCCCUAAAUUUAGUGGCGGUCACGUUGUAACUUCCUCUGCGUAGUAGCACACUUAGCACUGGGAAUCAGCGAGGCCACGCCGUAAAACACCCAACUUUAGAAUGUUUGACCUCGAAUCAGGUAGGACUACCCGCUGAACUUAAGCAUAUCAAU
This 532-nucleotide ribosomal RNA is filed under the name uncultured Cylindrocarpon. RNAcentral's name for it is "eukaryotic LSU rRNA". The stretch from base 165 to 318 matches the Rfam family "5.8S ribosomal RNA". The record is from RNAcentral. Lineage: Eukaryota; Fungi; Ascomycota; Sordariomycetes; Hypocreales; Nectriaceae.